This 601-nucleotide ribosomal RNA is filed under the name Eupeodes nitens. RNAcentral describes it as "eukaryotic LSU rRNA". It matches the Rfam family "Eukaryotic large subunit ribosomal RNA", at positions 392 to 815 of the family's 3401-position model. Lineage: Eukaryota; Metazoa; Arthropoda; Insecta; Diptera; Syrphidae. The record is from RNAcentral.
AGAGUACGUGAAACUGCUUAGAGGUUAAACCCGAUGAACCUGAAUAUCCAUUAUGGAAAAUUCAUCACUAAUAAUAUGAUAUUUAUAAUAUUAUAUAAAUAGUGUGCAAUUUUUCCAUAUAAGGACAUUGUAAUCUGUUAAUGUAAUAAAUAUUUAUCAUAAGAUCCAUUACUUAAGUUUAUUCGAAUUAGUUAUUUUCGGAUUUCUAACAUAGGAUAAAUGUUUUGGAUUUGAUAAAUCAUUGACAGAUAUAAUUAUAUAAUGUGCUUAAAUUUUUCGGAAUUUUAUCAAUGGUAGAUGAAUCUAAUGAUUUGUUUAUUUAAUUGUAUGCACUAUUAUGAUUAACAAUGCGAUAGAUUCAGGAUACCUUCGGGACCCGUCUUGAAACACGGACCAAGGAGUCUAACAUAUGUGCAAGUCAUUGGGUAUUUUUAAUAAAACCCAAUGGCGUAAUUAACUUAACUGUUAUAUAAUGGGAUUAGUUUAUAUUUUGUUAUGAAAUAUUAAUUCAAUCCCGGGGCGUUCUAUAUAGUUAUGUAUAAUAGUAUUUAUAUUAUUUAUGCCUCUAACUCGAGCGUACCUUGAGCAUAUAUGCUGUGAC